Molecule: long non-coding RNA, 244 nt
Filed under: Bos indicus x Bos taurus (hybrid cattle)
Lineage: Eukaryota; Metazoa; Chordata; Mammalia; Artiodactyla; Bovidae
Description: lncRNA (ENSBIXG00005020018.1)
Source: RNAcentral
UCACAUUUGAUGGUGGUCUUGUCAUCUCCUACCUCUUUCUCGUAAAGCUGGCAGCUGAGGGAAUGAGAAUGUAACCAAGCUCUCCAACAAUCACUCUGAAAUAAGCAAACUUAAUUUCAACCAAUUGUUGUUGGAUGUUAACGACUGGCCUAAACUGUACUUUUUCUAGCAAGAAAUGCUUUUUGUCCACAGCGUGAAGUGAUUUAAAAGUACUGGGUGUUAAAUGUGAGCUUCUAAUGAAAUU